This 559-nucleotide ribosomal RNA is filed under the name uncultured Paracoccaceae bacterium. RNAcentral describes it as "bacterial SSU rRNA". It matches the Rfam family "Bacterial small subunit ribosomal RNA", at positions 339 to 916 of the family's 1533-position model. Lineage: Bacteria; Pseudomonadati; Pseudomonadota; Alphaproteobacteria; Rhodobacterales; Paracoccaceae. The record is from RNAcentral.
CUACGGGAGGCAGCAGUGGGGAAUCUUGGACAAUGGGCGCAAGCCUGAUCCAGCCAUGCCGCGUGAGUGACGAAGGCCUUAGGGUCGUAAAGCUCUUUCGCCAGGGAUGAUAAUGACAGUACCUGGUAAAGAAACCCCGGCUAACUCCGUGCCAGCAGCCGCGGUAAUACGGAGGGGGUUAGCGUUGUUCGGAAUUACUGGGCGUAAAACGCACGUAGGCGGACUGGAAAGUUGGGGGUGAAAUCCCGGGGCUCAACCUCGGAACUGCCUCCAAAACUACUAGUCUAGAGUUCGAGAGAGGUGAGUGGAAUUCCGAGUGUAGAGGUGAAAUUCGUAGAUAUUCGGAGGAACACCAGUGGCGAAGGCGGCUCACUGGCUCGAUACUGACGCUGAGGUGCGAAAGUGUGGGGAGCAAACAGGAUUAGAUACCCUGGUAGUCCACACCGUAAACGAUGAAUGCCAGUCGUCAGCAAGCAUGCUUGUUGGUGACACACCUAACGGAUUAAGCAUUCCGCCUGGGGAGUACGGUCGCAAGAUUAAAACUCAAAGGAAUUGACGG